RNAcentral lists this ribosomal RNA (1283 nucleotides) under metagenome. RNAcentral describes it as "bacterial LSU rRNA". It matches the Rfam family "Bacterial large subunit ribosomal RNA", at positions 1632 to 2925 of the family's 2925-position model. The record is from RNAcentral.
CUUUAGUUGCCUGUACCCGAAACCGACACAGGUAGGGGGGUAGAGAAUACCAAGGGGCGCGAGAUAACUCUCUCUAAGGAACUCGGCAAAAUGACCCCGUAACUUCGGGAGAAGGGGUACCACUGAGAAGUGGUCGCAGUGAAGAGGCCCAGGCGACUGUUUACCAAAAACACAGGUCUCCGCCAAGUCGCAAGACGAAGUAUGGGGGCUGACGCCUGCCCAGUGCCGGAAGGUUAAGGAAGUGGGUUAGGGAUUCGUCCCGAAGCUGACGACUGAAGCCCCGGUGAACGGCGGCCGUAACUAUAACGGUCCUAAGGUAGCGAAAUUCCUUGUCGGGUAAGUUCCGACCCGCACGAAAGGCGUAACGAUCUGGGCGCUGUCUCGGAGAGAGGCUCGGCGAAAUAGGAUUGUCUGUGAAGAUACGGACUACCUGCACCUGGACAGAAAGACCCUAUGAAGCUUUACUGUAGCUUGGAAUUGGGUUCGGGCUUGGUUUGCGCAGGAUAGGUGGGAGGCGAAGAAGAUUUGCUUGUGGGUGAAUCUGAGCCAACGGUGAGAUACCACUCUAACCAGGCUAGAAUUCUAACUUCAACCCGUCAACCGGGGGAAGGACAGUUUCAGGUGGGCAGUUUGACUGGGGCGGUCGCCUCCUAAAAGAUAACGGAGGCGCACAAAGGUUCCCUCAGGCUGGUUGGAAAUCAGCCAACGAGUGCAAAGGCAGAAGGGAGCUUGACUGCGAGACCUACAAGUCAAGCAGGGUGGAAACACGGUCUUAGUGAUCCGACGGCACCGAGUGGAAGGGCCGUCGCUCAACGGAUAAAAGUUACUCUAGGAUAACAGGCUGAUCUCCCCCAAGAGUUCACAUCGACGGGGAGGUUUGGCACCUCGAUGUCGGCUCAUCGCAACCUGGGGCGGAAGUACGUCCCAAGGGUUGGGCUGUUCGCCCAUUAAAGCGGUACGUGAGCUGGGUUCAGAACGUCGUGAGACAGUUCGGUCCAUAUCCGGUGUAGGCGCAAGAACAUUGAGAGGAGUCUUCCUUAGUACGAGAGGACCGGGAAGAACGUACCGCUGGUGUACCUGUUAUCGUGCCAACGGUAAACGCAGGGUAGCCAAGUGCGGAGUGGAUAACCGCUGAAAGCAUCUAAGUGGGAAGCCCACCUCAAGAUGAGUGUUCUCAUGGAGUAAUCCAGUAAGGUCACGGGAAGACGACCCGUUGAUAGGCGGUAGGUGGAAGUUCAGCAAUGGAUGAAGCCGAGCCGUACUAACAGACCGAGGGCUUGACC